AAGAGAAGUCAGGGACAAAAAGAACUGCUAAUUCUUUCUAUCCAGGGUUCGAACCCCUGGUUCACUUAA
This 69-nucleotide transfer RNA is filed under the name Caliraja rhina (longnose skate). Its description in RNAcentral is "tRNA-Ser". Lineage: Eukaryota; Metazoa; Chordata; Chondrichthyes; Rajiformes; Rajidae. The record is from RNAcentral.